UCCCAGAAAAAGGAAGAACAGAAAAAAUAUUUAAAUAGCAACUGUUCUGUUAAUUAAACUUUGGGACAUUGACAUGGGCUGGGGGAGAUGACUAGAUCUACUAGAAAGUAUUAUUCUAUUCAUUUACCUCUUAGUCCUACAAAA
RNAcentral lists this small nucleolar RNA (144 nucleotides) under Microcebus murinus (gray mouse lemur). The record is from RNAcentral. Lineage: Eukaryota; Metazoa; Chordata; Mammalia; Primates; Cheirogaleidae.